Molecule: unclassified non-coding RNA, 308 nt
Filed under: fungal sp.
Lineage: Eukaryota; Fungi
Description: partial internal transcribed spacer region
Rfam family: Eukaryotic small subunit ribosomal RNA (bases 1-46)
Source: RNAcentral
AAGUCGUAACAAGGUUUCCGUAGGUGAACCUGCGGAAGGAUCAUUCUUGUAUCUCACCACUUUCAGUGGCAAACUCUGUGAACUAUACCUCUACUGUAGUGUGGCAACUGCGGUGGGCGAAUCUGGCGCAAGCGGUGAUGCUUGUAUAGCCACGCUUUUUGGAGUGUGGUUUACUACUGCAUCAAGCGCAACGCCAGUGCUGUUUCUCGCCCAGUUGCUGCCCUCAUCACCUAACACAAACAUCAACCAUCAAACUUUCUUAAAUACUAAUCUAAAUACAACUUUUAGCAACGGAUCUCUAGGCUCUC